This 95-nucleotide small nucleolar RNA is filed under the name Vicugna pacos (alpaca). Its description in RNAcentral is "Small nucleolar RNA SNORD116 (ENSVPAG00000016268.1)". It matches the Rfam family "Small nucleolar RNA SNORD116". Rfam says of the family: HBII-85 is a member of the C/D class of snoRNAs, which contain the C (UGAUGA) and D (CUGA) box motifs. The record is from RNAcentral. Lineage: Eukaryota; Metazoa; Chordata; Mammalia; Artiodactyla; Camelidae.
GGAUCGAUGAUGACUCCCUUAUAUGCAUUCCUUGGAAAAUCUGAACAAAAUGAGUGAGAACUCACUACCGUCGUUCUCAUCUAAACUGAUGGUCC